UGCCAGCCGCCGCGGUAAUACGGAGGGAUCUAGCGUUGUUCGGAAUUACUGGGCGUAAAGGGCGCGUAGGCUGUAUGAUUAGUCAGAGGUGAAAUCCCUAAGCUCAACUUAGGAACUGCCUUUGAUACUGUUGUACUAGAGAAUGAGAGAGGUGAGUGGAAUUCCAAGUGUAGAGGUGAAAUUCGUAGAUAUUUGGAAGAACACCAGUGGCGAAAGCGGCUCACUAGCUCAUUUCUGACGCUGAGGCGCGAAAGCGUGGGUAGCAGACAGGAUUAGAUA
This 279-nucleotide ribosomal RNA is filed under the name uncultured bacterium. RNAcentral describes it as "partial 16S ribosomal RNA". It matches the Rfam family "Bacterial small subunit ribosomal RNA", at positions 506 to 784 of the family's 1533-position model. The record is from RNAcentral.